AUGGAUUUACAGCAGAGUGUUUUCAGUAUUACUGUGUCAGCACGGUGUGUUUUCAUUCCAUCCUCAACUGUUGACAUUAUGCUUACCUGCUCUCCAGCUUUGAUGUGUGUGUCUCUAAGACAGAGGGCCACCAUCUCCUGCAGGGCCAGCAAGAGUGUCACUGAAUACAACAUUAGUUACAUGCACUGGUACCAACAGAAACCAGGACAACACCCCAAACUCCUCAUGUAUGGUGCAUCCAACCUAGCAUCUGGGGUUCCUGCCAGGUUCAGUGGCAAUGGGUUUGGGACAGACUUCACCCUCUCCAUCCAUACUGUGGAGACUGAUGAUGAUGCAGCAUAUUAUUCUAAGCAGAGGUAUGGGUCUCCUCCCAUAGUGCUCUGUGAGGAUUUGGAAUCUGUGCUUUAG
Microtus oregoni (creeping vole) is the source of this 408-nucleotide non-coding RNA. NCBI's taxonomy places the organism in Eukaryota, Metazoa, Chordata, Mammalia, Rodentia, Cricetidae. The record is from the annotation of a RefSeq genome assembly.